Molecule: long non-coding RNA, 2248 nt
Filed under: Sorghum bicolor (sorghum)
Lineage: Eukaryota; Viridiplantae; Streptophyta; Magnoliopsida; Poales; Poaceae
Description: long non-coding RNA (SBIC_LNC013069)
Source: RNAcentral
UACACAUGCACUUCCCCUCUGAGAAGGUACGCCGCUAUUUUACUGACCUUAACUAUAUAGUUGAAGACUCUAAGCAGGUCAGGACAAGAAGAAGACGAUGCAACCGCAACGAAGGAGGCAAAUCAUCAAGGACAGAUGAGCAGACUACGAAGGAGAAGUGGUAAGGUCUGAAGACAUACAGCUUGAACAGAACUCUCCUGAGGAGACCAUAGCACUGAGUCAGAUGUGGAGAGAGAAGAUAGUUAUACAUGAAGAGGAGGCGCCGCCGGAACCACCGACUACGCCAUCCAGCGAAUCCCAGGACAACAGAGAAAAUGGAGAGUCCCGUUCGGAGGACUUAAAAACACCGAACGUCUUGCCAAGAGGUAAACUUGGUAGUUAUCUUUUUCCUUUCAAUUAUUUAAAAUAGUUUGCUUAGUUAAUCAGAUUCAUAUCAUUUUGAAAAGAAAAUAAAAAUGUUAAAAAUAGUAAGCCCCAUGUGAGUAUGCUCAUGGCAUAAAACUCAUAAGUACAUUCACUGUGGUGGCAUAAAAAUAAAAUAAAUAUAUUUCUGUCCUACAAAAAUAAAAAUAAAUUUAUGAUCCUACCAAAGAGAGUAAUAGUUAUUAGAGGAAGCUCAAUAUGAUAAAGGCAAAGAGAAUUUAUGCUAACACUUAACAGUUCCACAAAGCUUUGUUGUCUAUUUGAGCUCCACAGAAUUCAAGGAUCAAAGAAGACUAGCAGACGGAGGACAUCCUAAUCGCUGUCAGGGUGCUGCCGACAUUCAUAUACACCUCCGUCACCUGCUAGCUGCAUCAGAAGAAAUUACGUCAAAAUCCAGCUUGGGGGAGAGCACCCCCAUUUAUCCAGCUAAGUGUUUCUACUCGCGUUUAUACUUUACUCAAAUAAUAAAAAGAUGCAUAAUCAUGAAAACCCAAAUAAAAAUUUUGUGCUUAAAUAUAUCUUUGCUUACUUUGCUAAAUAAAUAAAUAAAGUGUCUAGGCCAAACUGAACCCUCAUGAUAAACUCUUAUAUGGAUAUGAUAAAUAGUUGCUCUGCCAUGUACCUAGUUUUUAAGUUUGAGCUCUCUCUCAAGUUUAGGCAUAACUGUUAUAAUUUAAACCUCCUCUAAACCUAAACUUGUGGGAAGAGUACUUGAUCUAAAGUCUAAGUCGUUAACGAAUAUGAUAUGAGAAGGUUGAGCUGCUGUUUAUCUAUUCCUAGAGAUGCUAGAAUUCUGGAGAAUUUUAUCUUUGAAAAUCUUUAAAAUAACACAUGAUGAGUUCCUGUAUGAUGAGAGUUUAAAUUUCUACCACAGCCAUAUAUACAUGCUUAUUAGACUAUGAACCAUAUAUUUACUUUUUACUGCUUAUGAGCAUUGAGUGUGGUCCAGCUGUGUAGACCCUUAGGAGCUUGUCAUGCGGUUAAAAUCAAGAUUCACUUGCACGUUCACUCAUACAUGUUGCUUCUACUCCGGAAGUACGUAUCCACAUACAUCCACUCAUUUAUAUCUCUAGAUUCACCUAAAAUUAUUCUACUCCUAUCUGGAAGAGAAUAGUCAAAAAUAUUUUCCUAUCCUUGUUAUUCCCUGUGAAAUAAAUGCUCCAGUUAUUUUGGUUACUACCACUUGCCACAUUAUUCCAGGAGGGUGAGUGCUCUAAAAAAUAAAUAAAAAAAUACGAGGAAAUAAAAAGGGGCAAGUGUUCGGAACCUCGAAGAAAAGAAAAAGUGAGACGAAAGGUAAAAAUGGACAAGUGUCCGACAGUAGAAUUAGGGGUACAAGAUACCAACCUGAGAGAAAAAAAAGAGAUGAGAAAAUAUAGAGCAUCUCAUUCUCCUCAAAAAGCUUCAAAGUGCAAGAAAGGUAUGUAUCCCCUCAAAAGAGCAAAAGAAUUAGACUUUCACCAUUGUUAUCACCAUCAUCACCAUACACCAUUCAUUCGCCACACAUGCACAUCUUGAUUUGACUUAUUGACUUGUUCUUCUGGAUCUAUGGUUUGACUAUGCAAUAAAUGUCUUAUAAGUAUGUAUUAUCUGUCUCCCACCUAUGAGCUCCAGAUAUCAAAACCUUAUUAGAGUAGGGUGAGAGAGAAGCCAAUAUUACUAUGCCUCAUACCAAAAAUACCACAUACUUUGAGAGAAGGCAUAUACCAUUACUGCCUUGGAAAGGAUCCAGAAAUACCACAAAGGAGAGAUUUGAGAGAGUCAUACAAGGAAUCUCUGAGUUUUAUUUGAAAAUCUACAAAAACUCCAGAACUAUAGUUGAUCA